UGGGGAAUAUUGGACAAUGGGCGAAAGCCUGAUCCAGCAAUGCCGCGUGAGUGAUGAAGGCCUUAGGGUUGUAAAGCUCUUUUACCCGGGAUGAUAAUGACAGUACCGGGAGAAUAAGCCCCGGCUAACUCCGUGCCAGCAGCCGCGGUAAUACGGAGGGGGCUAGCGUUGUUCGGAAUUACUGGGCGUAAAGCGCACGUAGGCGGCUUUGUAAGUUAGGGGUGAAAGCCCGGAGCUCAACUCCGGAAUUGCCCUUAAGACUGCAUCGCUAGAACGUCGGAGAGGUGAGUGGAAUUCCGAGUGUAGAGGUGAAAUUCGUAGCUAUUCUGAAGAACACCAGUGGCGAAGGCUACUCACUGGACGACUGUUGACGCUGAGGUGCGAAAGCGUGGGGAGCAAACAGG
RNAcentral lists this ribosomal RNA (404 nucleotides) under Acidobacteriota bacterium. Its description in RNAcentral is "Acidobacteria bacterium partial 16S ribosomal RNA". It matches the Rfam family "Bacterial small subunit ribosomal RNA", at positions 355 to 776 of the family's 1533-position model. The record is from RNAcentral. Lineage: Bacteria; Pseudomonadati; Acidobacteriota.